RNAcentral lists this ribosomal RNA (253 nucleotides) under uncultured bacterium. RNAcentral's name for it is "partial 16S ribosomal RNA". It matches the Rfam family "Bacterial small subunit ribosomal RNA", at positions 524 to 776 of the family's 1533-position model. The record is from RNAcentral.
GACGAACCGUACGAACGUUAUUCGGAAUCACUGGGCUUAAAGGGUGCGUAGGCUGCGCGGAAAGUUGGGUGUGAAAUCCCUCGGCUCAACCGAGGAACUGCGCCCAAAACUGCCGUGCUCGAGGGAGACAGAGGUGAGCGGAACUUAGGGUGGAGCGGUGAAAUGCGUUGAUAUCCUAAGGAACACCGGUGGCGAAAGCGGCUUACUGGGUCUCUUCUGACGCUGAGGCACGAAAGCUAGGGUAGCGAACGGG